UAGGGAAUCUUCCACAAUGGACGCAAGUCUGAUGGAGCAACGCCGCGUGAGUGAAGAAGGUUUUCGGAUCGUAAAGCUCUGUUGUUGGUGAAGAAGGAUAGAGGCAGUAACUGGUCUUUAUUUGACGGUAAUCAACCAGAAAGUCACGGCUAACUACGUGCCAGCAGCCGCGGUAAUACGUAGGUGGCAAGCGUUGUCCGGAUUUAUUGGGCGUAAAGCGAGCGCAGGCGGAAUGAUAAGUCUGAUGUGAAAGCCCACGGCUCAACCGUGGAACUGCAUCGGAACUGUCAUUCUUGAGUGCAGAAGAGGAGAGUGGAACUCCAUGUGUAGCGGUGGAAUGCGUAGAUAUAUGGAAGAACACCAGUGGCGAAGGCGGCUCUCUGGUCUGCAACUGACGCUGAGGCUCGAAAGCAUGGGUAGCGAACAGGAUUAGAUACCCUGGUAGUCCAUGCCGUAAACGAUGAGCGCUAGGUGUUGGAGACUUUCCGGUUCUCAGUGCCGCAGCAAACGCAUUAAGCGCUCCGCCUGGGGAGUACGACCGCAAGGUUGAAAC
This 553-nucleotide ribosomal RNA is filed under the name uncultured bacterium. RNAcentral's name for it is "partial 16S ribosomal RNA". It matches the Rfam family "Bacterial small subunit ribosomal RNA", at positions 355 to 900 of the family's 1533-position model. The record is from RNAcentral.